Molecule: long non-coding RNA, 313 nt
Organism: Homo sapiens (human)
Lineage: Eukaryota; Metazoa; Chordata; Mammalia; Primates; Hominidae
Exons: 3
Source: RefSeq, a predicted model, not a curated record
CUUUUACAUGUGCCAUCUGUUUCUUGGGGGGACCCUGACUGACCUACCCAUUGAUCUUCAAUGGCACCCAUUUACUUGGCUGCAGCAUGAAAGCACUUUAGAAGGAAGGGAGGGACUCAACCUGGCAGAAGAAGUCAAAAAUGUUCUGAGCCUGGAAAUAGCUCUCUGAGCAGCAAAAUCUUCCAGCAUCCACUUUCUGAAGUGACCCUGAGAGGAGAGGAAGCUCUAGAAAGGAGAGGACAUUUUCUGUCUCUUCCCACACCAGAGAAAUCUUGUAGAAAUCACUUCCCACCCUUCUGUCCACUCCUUCUCU